Molecule: ribosomal RNA, 480 nt
Filed under: uncultured bacterium
Lineage: Bacteria
Description: partial 16S ribosomal RNA
Rfam family: Bacterial small subunit ribosomal RNA
Source: RNAcentral
GACGAACGCUGGCGGCGCGCCUAACACAUGCAAGUCGAGCGAUGAAAUUUUAACCGAUCUCUUCGGAGAGAAGAUAAAAUGGAUUAGCGGCGGACGGGUGAGUAACACGUGAGAAACCUGCCUUUCACAAGGGGAUAGCCUCGGGAAACCGGGAUUAAUACCCUAUGACACAUUUCCUUCGCAUGGAAGAAAUGUUAAAACUCCGGUGGUGAAAGAUGGUCUCACGCCUGAUUAGCUAGUUGGUGGGGUAACGGCCCACCAAGGCCAUGAUCAGUAACCGGCCUGAGAGGGUGAACGGUCACAUUGGAACUGAGACACGGUCCAAACUCCUACGGGAGGCAGCAGUGGGGAAUAUUGCACAAUGGAGGAAACUCUGAUGCAGCGACGCCGCGUGAGCGAUGAAGGCUUUCGAGUCGUAAAGCUCUGUCCUAUGGGAAGAUAAUGACGGUACCAUAGGAGGAAGCCCCGGCUAACUACGUG